UCCGCCAGCUGAUCCGGGACGGAGCCGGCGCGCGGCGGGGGGAGGCGGCGGUACCGGCACCGGGCACGGCCCGGGCGGCACCGGCGGGGCGGCGGCGCUGGUGGCGCUGGGCCAAGUCGGCCCCGGCCGAGCCGCGCAGGUGCUGCCGUGCCACCCUGCUCCUGGCUAACCAGCACCAGUUCUUCAGUGGCAAGCUUUAUGUCCUUCUCCAGUAGCUAAAGCUGCCAGUUGAAGAACUGUUGAAUGUAGCCACUCUCUUCUCGUCACUGGGACCUUGGAUGCCAGCCAGAGCCGUGCCCUGAGCCACCAGGAUGAGCCACUCUGCAGAGCCCUGUGCCUUGGAGGGCUUGAGGAUGAGUGUGACCAGGAUGAUGAAGAAAGUCUCCUCGGAGCCUCCAGCCAGAGCCUUGGCUGGAGGAUUCUGUGCCAGCAGGGUUGCCAAAAUGUGUCCCCCCACCCCUCAGUGGGGUGGCACUGAGCUGGGAGGAGACUGAGAGAAGCAUUAAACAUUAUUUUGCUCAA
Agelaius phoeniceus (red-winged blackbird) is the source of this 522-nucleotide long non-coding RNA. RefSeq lists it as uncharacterized. The record is from RefSeq and is a predicted model, not a curated record. NCBI's taxonomy places the organism in Eukaryota, Metazoa, Chordata, Aves, Passeriformes, Icteridae.